UACGGGGGGAGCAAGCGUUGUUCGGAUUUACUGGGCGUAAAGAGCUCGUAGGCGGCUUGUCGCGUCGUCUGUGAAAUCCCGCGGCUCAACUGCGGGUCUGCAGUCGAUACGGGCAGGCUAGAGUUCGGUAGGGGAGACUGGAAUUCCUGGUGUAGCGGUGAAAUGCGCAGAUAUCAGGAGGAACACCGGUGGCGAAGGCGGCAUCCUGGACCGAAACUGACGCUGAGGCGCGAAAGCCAGGGGAGCAAACGGG
This 253-nucleotide ribosomal RNA is filed under the name uncultured bacterium. Its description in RNAcentral is "partial 16S ribosomal RNA". It matches the Rfam family "Bacterial small subunit ribosomal RNA", at positions 524 to 776 of the family's 1533-position model. The record is from RNAcentral.